GUAGGUAUAGUUUAACCAAAACAUUAGAUUGUGAUUCUAAAAACAAGGGUUAAACCCCCCUUACCCACC
RNAcentral lists this transfer RNA (69 nucleotides) under Channa burmanica. RNAcentral's name for it is "tRNA-His". It matches the Rfam family "tRNA". From Rfam's summary of the family: Transfer RNA (tRNA) molecules are approximately 80 nucleotides in length. Their secondary structure includes four short double-helical elements and three loops (D, anti-codon, and T loops). Further hydrogen bonds mediate the characteristic L-shaped molecular structure. tRNAs have two regions of fundamental functional importance: the anti-codon, which is responsible for specific mRNA codon recognition, and the 3' end, to which the tRNAs corresponding amino acid is attached (by aminoacyl-tRNA synthetases). tRNAs cope with the degeneracy of the genetic code in two manners: having more than one tRNA (with a specific anti-codon) for a particular amino acid; and 'wobble' base-pairing, i.e. permitting non-standard base-pairing at the 3rd anti-codon position. Lineage: Eukaryota; Metazoa; Chordata; Actinopteri; Anabantiformes; Channidae. The record is from RNAcentral.